Molecule: non-coding RNA, 3684 nt
Organism: Macaca mulatta (Rhesus monkey)
Lineage: Eukaryota; Metazoa; Chordata; Mammalia; Primates; Cercopithecidae
Source: RefSeq, a predicted model, not a curated record
AAUAAAUGUUUGCCAUUGUUGGGAGUCAGGCAUAGCAGCUUAAGAUCAUGUGCAGCCUACCAAUGUAUGGGGAGAGGCUUACAUGCAAGCUGCUAAUUUAUUUUUUCCUCUCUAUGAUCAGUACCCUCUCUCCUGGAAAGAAAACAAUAUAGAUUUGGAAACAAAGGAAAUUCAGGGAAUAUUAUUUCCUCAAAGAUGAGAUCAUUAAUGUAUUUGUGAGAUGACCAUAAAGCCAGCUUUGAGAGCUCUCUAUUCAACUAUAAAUUGUUCGUUGUGGCCCUGCUAUCUUGUAGCUCUGUUUUUAUAUUCACCGCUGUGCUUCCUGAAAGCAACAAUUUCUGCUAAUGCACUGACCAAGCAGCAGCAUAAUAAUCCUGUCAGCCAACAAUGGAUGGGAGCUGAGGAUUGAAAGGAGAUAUAGAAAAAAUUGAACAGAUGUGUACAUGGACACUGGAACUGGAAGGAAGAUGCAGAAUCAAGACCUAAAGAAGUUGAGUAACUUCACUCUAGAUCAUCUGGUAGAGGAUUUAAAGGAGAUCUAGCCCUGAGAAGUUAGGCUCUAAAACCUAUGCCCUUCCCAUGAAAGCACAUUUUCUUCAUAAAAAGGGAUCUCAUUUGAAGUACUAAGAAGAAUAAGCCAUUGGUUUGAAAAAAGCCCUCUUAAGAGCAAAAUGAAUUCUGCUAAAAUUGAAGCAGGAACAAAUAUCAACUUUAUGGUGAAGCUCUGGUGGAAGAAUGAUGAAAUCACUGAUACUUUACAAGAAGUUUAUGGUGACAAUGCCUUAAAGAAAUCAUCAGUUUACACAUGGAUAGCUUGUUUUAGGAAGGGAUGAGAUGCUGAUGAUAAAUCCUGUGCUGGCAAAUACAUCCACAGCAAUUUGCAAGGAAAAAAUUUAUCUUGCUCAUGCCCUAACUGAAGAGGACCAACAUUUAACAGCUUGGACAAUAGCCAGCACCAUAGAUAUCUCAACUGGUUCAGCUUACACAAUCCUGAGUCAAAAAUCAAAGUCGAGCACCUUCCACUCAAUUGGUGCCAAAACCAUUGGACCCAGAUCAACUGCAGACAAUAGUAGAGCUUUCCAUGAAUAUUUUAAACAACUGGGACCAAGAUCUUGUAGCGUUUCUCCAAGAAGAGUAACAGGAGAUGAAACAUAGCUUUCCCAGUAUGAUCCUGAAGACAAAGCACAAUCAAAGCAAUGACUACCAAGACGUGGAGUGUGGUCCAGUCAAAGCACAAGCAGAUCAGUCAAAAGCAAAGGUCAUGGCAACGGUGUUUUGGGAUGCUCAAGGCACUUUGUUGACUUGCUGGAGGGCCAAAAAACGAUAACAUCUGCUUAUGAUGAGAGUGUUCUGAGAAAGACAGCCAGAGCUUUAGCAGACAAAUGCCUGGGAAAGCUUCACCAAAGAGCCCUUCUCUACCAUGACAAUGCUCCUCCUCAUUCCUCUCAUCAAACAAGGGGAAAUUUGUGAAAGUUUCAAUGGGAAAUCAUUAGGCAUCCACCUUAUAGUCCUGAUUUGGCUCCUUUUAACCUAUUUUUGUUUCUUAAUCUUAAAAAAAAAAAUCUUUCAAGGGCAAUCAUUUUUCUUCAGUAAAUAAUGUAGAGUGCAUUGACAUGGUUAAAAAGACUGCACUGACAUGGUUAAAUUACCAGGACUCUCAGUACAUUAGGUAUGGGUUAAAUGGUUGAUAUCAUCACUUUCUCAUCAAUUUCAAGACAUUUUUGUUUUCUCAUACGAUGCAUCAAGAAGCAAAGAUGACUGAAGUGCCUCUUUGUACCUGAGAGUUUCCCAAUGUAUUUUUAUAAUUUUGGGUUCUAAGCUUAUUUUUAAUGUGUGUUUUGUCUCCUAUAGAAAAUCUUGGUUGAUAAUUUGUCCUUUUGCUAGGCUUCCCAGGAUAUUCCAAUUUCAGAGCACUUUUUGUGUUAAUUUCUUACUUAGAGGUUGGCAAACCCCACAUAUAUUACCUAUUUCAAUUAUAAGCCCCCAAAUUUAUGUGAGGGGAGGCAUGGUUACAAACUCAUAGGGAAGACAUUUUCCUCUUUACUUGGAGCCCAAGCCAAGACGUUCAUUUAUUCAAUAAAAGUUUACUAAGUUACUGUGCUAAAGACUAGGGAUAUCAUAAGAAACAGGCAAAGUCCCUGCUCUCAUGAAAGUUAUAUUUUGGAAUAAUAUCCUUGUGCUGAUGAGGAAAUUUUCUAGUCCUCCAGCAGGAAUCUCAGUUUUCACUCCCUGACUCCAUUAGGCUCGUGGCCUCAUUUCAUAUUCUGUUAUGGUUAUUAUAAUCCAUUUCCAUGAUUACCAAGGCUGAGAAUAUUCUUUCAUCCAUGACCUUCAAAUUGACCUUACCAUUUUAUUUUGCCUUCUUCAUUUUUGGCAAGUAGGAACUUGGCUUACUUUAUUGUAAGCUCAGCUAUACAUUUAAAAGUAAAUACACAUUUUUUUCAUCAUUUCUAUGGGUUUAGUGGCAGAGGGAGUUACAAUAUCUGGUCUACCACAUUGCAGGAACUAGAUUUCCCCAGAUGACUAAUGCUUCAGUCAAAAGUCUUCUUCCCCCACCCACCCCCCCCGCCCCAAACACAUUAGACUUACUUAUGCCAUUGUGGAAAAUUAUUUCCAUUGUCUUUGAAGUCCCCUUUCCCAGGUUUUCUCUCUACUGUUUUUUUCUAAUCUUUCAGGGUGUACUCAAAUGUUACCUUCUCAAAGAGACUUUCCUGUAAAACCUCACCUUGAACACUCUAUCUCACUCACUUUGUUUUUUCUUUUUUAUAACUUUAAUAGUAUUUUGAAUUAUCAUACUUAUUUACUUGUUGAUCAUGCCUCUAUCCCACUGUAAUGCAACUUCCAUGACAGCAUAAUCUUUUCUGUCUUGUUUACCAUUAUUUCUCUAGGGUCAGUCUAUCAGUACUUUUAUUUUCUUAGCAGAAUUGGGUGUCUCUUGAUGUGAUGCAAAAAGAAAACACAUGAUUGAUGAUGGCUUCUAACCAAGGAUUCAAGGCAUCUGAUUUGAAUUCUAGAUUGUAGACAUUACAGGGAUGAAGGCACAAAGUAAAUAACACCAGAAAGAGGAUUUAACACAAAAUCUGGAAGUUGGGAUAUUUCACAGGAUAAAUUGUUGAGCCUUUUCCGAAAUAAGUGUCUAGCAAAUCCUGUAUUAGUAUCUUUAGUGAUCAUGCCUGAGUUUGCUCUCCAAAGGCACCAUAUCUAUACAUUCUUAGUAUCUUAUCUGUUUUAAGCAGAUAAUAAAGUCAACUGAACCUUCCCUUACUGUUACACACUAAGUAAGUGCAAUUUGGAUGGUUUGAAGAUAUUAAAUAUUUCAAUUCAGAUUUAAGGAGACCUGUUUGAGAGAAACUACUAGAGCUUUUAACACUUGCUACAGAAAGGUAAUGUCUUUUCUAUUUAGUAUUUUGCAUUCCAAAGAAUGAGAAAAGUUAUUCCAUAAGUAGAUAAUUGAAUAAGAGAAUCAAAACAUACAUGGAGGUGUUUAAAUGUUUCAUUUUAAAUUUGAUGGCAAAGAUGCUAUGAAACUGUAUUAACAGCUAACAUUUAUUGAACAGAAGGCACUCUAAAUGGUGCUUGUAGAUUAUGGCACUUAAUCCUCACAAUAACUUUAUGAGAUAGGUAUUGUAUUAGCCUGCUCUUGCAUUGCUAUAAAGGAAUACCUGAGAUUGGGUAAUUAAUAAA